RNAcentral lists this transfer RNA (76 nucleotides) under Synergistaceae bacterium. RNAcentral describes it as "tRNA-Phe". It matches the Rfam family "tRNA". Rfam says of the family: Transfer RNA (tRNA) molecules are approximately 80 nucleotides in length. Their secondary structure includes four short double-helical elements and three loops (D, anti-codon, and T loops). RNAcentral also lists the same sequence under 2 other names. The record is from RNAcentral. Lineage: Bacteria; Thermotogati; Synergistota; Synergistia; Synergistales; Synergistaceae.
GGCGAGAUAGCUCAGUAGGUAGAGCAGCGGACUGAAAAUCCGCGUGUCCCCGGUUCAAUUCCGGGUCUCGCCACCA